CGGUUGGAUAAGUUAGAUGUGAAAGCCCCGGGCUCAACCUGGGAAUUGCAUUUAAAACUGUCCAGCUAGAGUCUUGUAGAGGGGGGUAGAAUUCCAGGUGUAGCGGUGAAAUGCGUAGAGAUCUGGAGGAAUACCGGUGGCGAAGGCGGCCCCCUGGACAAAGACUGACGCUCAGGUGCGAAAGCGUGGGGAGCAAACAGGAUUAGAUACCCUGGUAGUCCACGCCGUAAACGAUGUCGAUUUGGAGGCUGUGUCCUUGAGACGUGGCUUCCGGAGCUAACGCGUUAAAUCGACCGCCUGGGGAGUACGGCCGCAAGGUUAAAACUCAAAUGAAUUGACGGGGGCCCGCACAAGCGGUGGAGCAUGUGGUUUAAUUCGAUUUUACGCGAAGAACCUUACCUGGCCUU
This 407-nucleotide ribosomal RNA is filed under the name Aeromonas veronii. RNAcentral describes it as "bacterial SSU rRNA". It matches the Rfam family "Bacterial small subunit ribosomal RNA", at positions 576 to 982 of the family's 1533-position model. Lineage: Bacteria; Pseudomonadati; Pseudomonadota; Gammaproteobacteria; Aeromonadales; Aeromonadaceae. The record is from RNAcentral.